Non-coding RNA from Microcebus murinus (gray mouse lemur), 492 nucleotides. NCBI's taxonomy places the organism in Eukaryota, Metazoa, Chordata, Mammalia, Primates, Cheirogaleidae. The record is from RefSeq and is a predicted model, not a curated record.
AGCAGCCCCAGCCUCGCGCGUGGGGCCUCUGCCCGCACACACGCAGCCAGGCACUGUAAGCAUCUUCACUUUUUGUUUUUGCUGAUGUUGAUUUAACUGCUAAUUGGUGACAGAAAUUGUCAAGUAGGUGGCAGAUAGCGACUGCGGAAACUUCCGUUGAAGGAGGCUUCUAAUGUGAGGAAAAACACAGAAUGACAAGUGUGGGAAAGAGCAAGCACUAAAUUACUGUCAGAAAAAUAAACGGAGUAGCACAGUGGUGCUCAGUGAUUUACGGGGGCAAUUAGUCACCACCCCACGGCGCUGCUGAGGACAGCACCGCAGCAGACGCGUCAGGCCCACGAGGAAGAAGAGGCUGUACGCUGCUCUCCAGACAACUUUUCAAACAACAAGAGAGGAUAUUUGAGCACAUCAGGUUCCGUGUCUUCAUUCUGGGUGCCUACCCUUCACAUUAUUCCACCAACUUAAUACAUAAACGUAUUUUUUAGCACAAUA